RNAcentral lists this ribosomal RNA (497 nucleotides) under uncultured bacterium. RNAcentral's name for it is "partial 16S ribosomal RNA". It matches the Rfam family "Bacterial small subunit ribosomal RNA", at positions 28 to 507 of the family's 1533-position model. The record is from RNAcentral.
GAUGAACGCUGGCGGCGUGCCUAAUACAUGCAAGUCGAGCGAACAGACGAGGAGCUUGCUCCUCUGACGUUAGCGGCGGACGGGUGAGUAACACGUGGAUAACCUACCUAUAAGACUGGGAUAACUUCGGGAAACCGGAGCUAAUACCAGAUAAUAUAUUGAACCGCAUGGUUCAAUAGUGAAAGACGGUUUUGCUGUCACUUAUAGAUGGAUCCGCGCCGCAUUAGCUAGUUGGUAAGGUAACGGCUUACCAAGGCAACGAUGCGUAGCCGACCUGAGAGGGUGAUCGGCCACACUGGAACUGAGACACGGUCCAGACUCCUACGGGAGGCAGCAGUAGGGAAUCUUCGGCAAUGGGCGAAAGCCUGACGGAGCAACGCCGCGUGAGUGAUGAAGGUCUUCGGAUCGUAAAACUCUGUUAUUAGGGAAGAACAAAUGUGUAAGUAACUAUGGACGUCUUGACGGUACCUAAUCAGAAAGCCACGGCUAACUACGUG